RNAcentral lists this long non-coding RNA (641 nucleotides) under Homo sapiens (human). RNAcentral's name for it is "long non-coding RNA NONHSAT192765.1". The record is from RNAcentral. Lineage: Eukaryota; Metazoa; Chordata; Mammalia; Primates; Hominidae.
CAUUCUAAGCUAAUUUAGUUGGUGUAAUGUGGUCCCUCAAGGGUAGUUGCAGGUGCAUUCACUUGACCUCUACGAAGGAUGAACAUUUCCCAUGAGUUUUCCACUUGUGUUUCAUCCUUGAUGAAGACAUUGUGGCUUAAGGAGGUAGUACAAUGAUGUUGACACUGGAGGCAUUCUGAAUAUUUGGUGUGACUUCUACGAACUACCUGGCACACAGUAGGUCCUGCCUUUGCUUCAGUUUCCUGUGAGACAAAUUGGAGUUUGACAUCCCUCCUCAAGAUGCCUCCUCCAAGACCAGAGUUCCCUGUGGCUGAGCUGUGUGUGCAGAGAGCACCUUUCUCUCUCCUUGGGAAGCCCUUUGAAUGUAGAAACUCUGCAUUCCUCAUUCCUGUGCCCUCCCUCUCCCCAGUGGCUAGGACUUAACACCAAAGGGUGCUCAGGAAACAAAUGGAAGCAGGGCACUAACCAACUCCAGGAGGACUGGGAGCAUGUUUCCCGCUGAAUCCCUGCCAUCUUGACCACUGCCUGGCAAGAGAAGACACUCUACCAACAUUUUUUUAGUGCUGCAUCCCUUGGAGGGCAUGAGGCAAGGCCACGUGAGACACAGUCGGUGCUAGAUUCCUGGAGGCAGAGCUGAGGGU